AAAACGGCCCUUUUCAGGGCCACUACAUAUUCACGAAAGAGUUAUU
Culex pipiens (northern house mosquito) is the source of this 46-nucleotide regulatory RNA element. It matches the Rfam family "Histone 3' UTR stem-loop". From Rfam's summary of the family: The mRNAs of metazoan histone genes lack a poly-A tail. 3' end processing occurs at a site between a highly conserved stem-loop (modelled by this family) and a purine rich region around 20 nts downstream (the histone downstream element, or HDE). NCBI's taxonomy places the organism in Eukaryota, Metazoa, Arthropoda, Insecta, Diptera, Culicidae. The record is from Rfam.